GAUGAACGCUGGCGGCGUGCCUAAUACAUGCCAGUCGAGCGAACAGACGAGGAGCUUGCUCCUCUGACGUUAGCGGCGGACGGGUGAGUAACACGUGGAUAACCUACCUAUAAGACUGGGAUAACUUCGGGAAACCGGAGCUAAUACCGGAUAAUAUAUUGAACCGCAUGGUUCAAUAGUGAAAGACGGUUUUGCUGUCACUUAUAGAUGGAUCCGCGCCGCAUUAGCUAGUUGGUAAGGUAACGGCUUACCAAGGCAACGAUGCAUAGCCGACCUGAGAGGGUGAUCGGCCACACUGGAACUGAGACACGGUCCAGACUCCUACGGGAGGCAGCAGUAGGGAAUCUUCCGCAAUGGGCGAAAGCCUGACGGAGCAACGCCGCGUGAGUGAUGAAGGUCUUCGGAUCGUAAAACUCUGUUAUUAGGGAAGAACAAAUGUGUAAGUAACUAUGCACGUCUUGACGGUACCUAAUCAGAAAGCCACGGCUAACUACGUG
This 497-nucleotide ribosomal RNA is filed under the name uncultured bacterium. RNAcentral describes it as "partial 16S ribosomal RNA". It matches the Rfam family "Bacterial small subunit ribosomal RNA", at positions 28 to 507 of the family's 1533-position model. The record is from RNAcentral.